GAUGAACGCUAGCGGCAGGCCUAACACAUGCAAGUCGAGGGAGAAGCCCUUUCGGGGGCAGAAACCGGCGCACGGGUGCGUAACGCGUAUGCAACCUACCUUUCACAGGGGGAUAGCCCGAAGAAAUUUGGAUUAAUACCCCAUAAUAUUAUUGGAUGGCAUCAUUUGAUAAUUAAAACUGCGGUGGUGAAAGAUGGGCAUGCGUCCUAUUAGCUAGUUGGAGUGGUAACGGCACCCCAAGGCUACGAUAGGUAGGGGUCCUGAGAGGGAGAUCGCCCACACUGGUACUGAGACAGGGACCAGACUCCUACGGGAGGCAGCAGUGAGGAAUAUUGGUCAAUGGUCGGAAGACUGAACCAGCCAUGCCGCGUGCAGGAAGAAUGCCUUAUGGGUUGUAAACUGCUUUUAUAUGGGAAGAAUAAGGCGUACGUGUACGUUGAUGACGGUACCAUAUGAAUAAGCAUCGGCUAACUCCGUG
RNAcentral lists this ribosomal RNA (478 nucleotides) under uncultured bacterium. RNAcentral's name for it is "partial 16S ribosomal RNA". It matches the Rfam family "Bacterial small subunit ribosomal RNA", at positions 28 to 507 of the family's 1533-position model. The record is from RNAcentral.